GAUGAACGCUGGCGGCGUGCCUAAUACAUGCAAGUCGAGCGAACGGACGAGAAGCUUGCUUCUCUGGUGUUAGCGGCGGACGGGUGAGUAACACGUGGAUAACCUACCUAUAAGACUGGGAUAACUUCGGGAAACCGGAGCUAAUACCGGAUAAUAUUUUGAACCGCAUGGUUCAAAAGUGAAAGACGGUCUUGCUGUCACUUAUAGAUGGAUCCGCGCUGCAUUAGCUAGUUGGUAAGGUAACGGCUUACCAAGGCAACGAUGCAUAGCCGACCUGAGAGGGUGAUCGGCCACGCUGGAACUGAGACACGGUCCAGACUCCUACGGGAGGCAGCAGUAGGGAAUCUUCCGCAAUGGGCGAAAGCCUGACGGAGCAACGCCGCGUGAGUGAUGAAGGUCUUCGGAUCGUAAAACUCUGUUAUUAGGGAAGAACAUAUGUGUAAGUAACUGUGCACAUCUUGACGGUACCUAAUCAGAAAGCCACGGCUAACUACGUG
RNAcentral lists this ribosomal RNA (497 nucleotides) under uncultured bacterium. Its description in RNAcentral is "partial 16S ribosomal RNA". It matches the Rfam family "Bacterial small subunit ribosomal RNA", at positions 28 to 507 of the family's 1533-position model. The record is from RNAcentral.